GUUUACUUCCUGUCACCUCCAACUGCAUUGGAGCGUUGUCUAAUUGGGCAUUAUGUCAUCCAAUUAGACUCCAACUGCACAAAGACCUGUUUCCACUUCACCCCUUGUGCUCCUGGAGCAGAUCUGCGUGACUAGGAGCAAAGGAUCCUGGGAGGGCCAGCCCACAAUAUGGAAGGAGGCGGAGUCACACAGCCGUGACUUGAGAGAGAGCCACACGGGUGAACUGUUGACGUGAUCAAGAAAUGAAAGUGUAUUGGGCUAAGCCACAGAGAUUUCAGGGUUUAUUUGUUUCAGCAGCAUAAUCAACUUCACGAUUAAAAGAAGAGGAUAUGGAUUCCAGAAUCUUAUCAAAAUAGGAUAUCAAAGGGGUUUAAACUCAGGAAACAAAAUGGAAGCACUACUGUGGUGAAUCCCUGGAAAUACCACGUUAGAAGGCAGAUGAAACUUCCAAGGACUUGGGCGUGGCUGUUAGGCUUCCCCAGUUAUUUAGCUGAAUGUGCAGAGCAGGGCACCGGAUUUGGUAAAGAAUUUGAGGGCCAAACCCAUUUUGUCUUGGAGUGAAGGCUGUGAUCCUCAACUCUGGCUUCAAGUUAGGUUUCAAUUAAAUCACAAAAAUGCUGAUGUUUGGGCCUUAAGUCAAAUCAGUUAAAUCAGAAUCUCUGGAGAUGAGAUGAAGAUAUUGUUAUAUUUUUAAAGUUACCCUAGUAGUGCUAAUACGUAGCUAGAUUGGGAAUCCCUGAGUUGAUGUAACUAGAGGCAAAUAUUUUCACAAAGGGGUCUGAAGCUGCUUAAGAGCUUUGUCUCAAUAGAAAUUGGGUUAGGAAGCCUAGGACAGAGUCCAAAGGAAAGAAAUAUCAGCCAGAUUCAGAUAUGUGGAACUGGAAAAGAAGAAUAUUUUAGCAUCAAUCUCUCAAGAAAAAAAGAGAGUAUCUGCCUGGAAACCCUGUUGCCUGGAGACCACUCUUGAAGAACAUCCACUGCUGUGGCCUCUUAAAGAUUUAAGACAUCUAAUGAAGAGCUGACAGAAAUCAUCAAUUUGCUCCUCAGCCUCCCUCUUCCCUGAAACACAAAAACAUUGAAAUUAGGCCAAUUAAUAACUCUACAAUGGCCUCUGAGAGUUAAAAUGAAAGGAAGUGUAAAAUGGUUUCUCACUUGAAAUCAAAAGCUAGAAAUGAUUAAGCUUCGUGAGGAAGGCAAGUUGAAAGCUGAGACAGCCAAAAGCUGACUCCCGCACCAGGGAGCCAAGUUGUGCAAGCAAAGGAAAAGUUCUUGAAGGAAAUUAAAAGUGCUGCUCCAGUGAACACAUGAAUGAUAAGAAAGCAAAAGUGAUCUGGGUAGAAGAUCAAACCAGCCACAACAUGCCCUUAAGCCAAAGCCUAAUCCAGAGCAAGGCUUUAACUCUCUUCAAGUUUGUGAAGACUGAGAGAGGUAAGGAAAGUGCAGAAGGAAAGUUAAAUGCUAGAAGAGUCGGUUCAGGAGGUUUCAGGAAAAAGCCAUCUCCACAAAUAAACAUACAACGCGAAGCAGCAAAUGCUGAUGUAGAAGCUGUGGCAAGUUUUCCAGAAGAGCUAGCUCAGAUCAUUGAUAAACGUGGCUACAUUAAACAACAUAUUUUCAGUGUGGAUGAAACAGAGUCCUACUGGAAGAAGACACCAUCUAGGACUUUCAUAGCUACAGGGAAAAGUCAAUGUCUGGCUUCAAAGCUUCAAAGAACAGGGUGACUCUCUUGUCAGACACUAAUACAGCUGCUGACUUGAAGUUGAAGUCAGUGCUCACUGCACAUUCUGAAAACUUAAGGAUCCUUAAGAACUGUGCUAAAUCUACUCUGCCUAUGUGCAACAAAGCCCUUAUGGCAGCAUGGCUGUUUACAAUAUCAUUUACUGAAUAUUUGAAGCCUACUACUGAGAACUACUGCUCAGGAAAAAAGAUACUUUUCAAAAUAGUACUGCUCUUUGACAAUGGACCUGGUCACCCAAGAGCUCUGAUGGAGGUGUGCAAGGAGAUGAACGCUGUGUUCAUGCCUGCUAACACAACACCCGUUCUGUACUCCAUGGAUCACAGAGUAAUUUUGACUUUCAAGUCUUAUUAUUUGAGAAAUAAAUUUUGUAAGGCUAUAGCUGCCACACAUAGUUAUUCCUGUGACGGAUCCGGGCAAAGUAAAUUGAAAACCUAGAAAAGAGUCACCAUUCUAGAUGUCACUAAGAACAUUUAUGAUUCAUGGGAGGAGGUUAAAUUAUCAACAUUAAUAGAAGUUUGAAAGAAAUUUAUUCCAGCCCUCAUGGAUGACUUUGAUGGGUUCAAGACUUUGGUAGAGGAAGUAACUGCAGGUAUAGUGAUAAUAUCAAGGAAAUUAGAACUAAAAGUGGAGCCUGAAGAUGUGACUGAAUUGCUUCAGUCUCACGAUAAAACUUGAACAUAACAGCAGUUAAUUCUUACGGAUUAGCAAAAAAGUGGUUUUGUGAGAUGGAAUCUAUUCCUGUUGAAAAUGCUGUGAACACUGUGGAAAUGACAACAAAGGAUUUAGAAUAUUACAUAAACUUAGUUGAUAAAGCAGCAGUAGGGUUUAGAAGGUUUGACUCCAAUUUUGAAAGAAGUUCUACGGUGGGUCAAAUGCUACCAAAGAGCGUUGCACGCUAUAGAGUAAUCUUUCAUGAAAGGAGGAGUCAACUGAUGUAGCAGACUUCACCGUUGUCUUAUUUUUAAAAAUUUCCACAGCCACCCCAAUUUUCAGCAACCACCACCUUGAUCAGUCAGCAGCCAUCAGCAACAAAGCAAGACCCUCUUCCAGCAAAAAAAUUACAACAACUUGCUGAAGGCUCGGAUGAUUUUUAGCAACAAACUAUUUUAAAAUUAAGAUUGUCAAACAUGACCCUUGAGGCUUACCUCUGGAUUGUGGUACGAAGGAAUGAAAGUGAAAAAUAAUUACCUUUGUGAGAUUCAGUAAGUACUUAAGUCCACUUUUAAAAUUUGAAAACAGAAACAAAAUCUAAUGAUUUAGACACAAGGGAGAAGCCAAUAUAUUGACAAUAGAUGCUUUUUGCAGAGUACAACAGACUUUUAAAGGCUAUUCAUUUUACAGUUUUCUUGGUGAAUUUCCAUAGCUCUCAUUGUUAGUGCUGUUUAAUUUAUUCAAAUAUUUAGACUGGUCAGUUAUCCGAAGGGCUUAGUGGGGAUGUUUUGCUUCAUGUUCUUAAAAGCCAUUCAAUGUACACCUACAGCCAUCUGAUCUUUGACAAAGUCAGCAAAAAUAAGCAAUGGGGAAAGGACUCCCUAUUCAAUAAAUGGUGUUGGAUAACCAGUUGGCCAUACACAGAAGAAUGAAACUGGACUCCUAUCUUUUACCACAUACAAAAAUUAACUGAAAAUGGAUUAAAGAUUUAAAUGAAAGACCUCAAACUAUAAGACUCCUAGAAGAAAAGCUAGGAAGCACCAUUCCUGACAUCAGCCUUGGGAAGGAAUUUAUAACUAAGUCCUCAAUAGCAAUUGCAACAAAAGAAAUUGACAAGCGGGAUUUAAUUAAACUAAAGAGCUUCUGCACAGCAAAAUAAACUAUCCACAGAGUAAACAAUCUACAGAAUGGGAGAAAAUAUGUGUAAGCUAUGCAUCUGACAAAAGCCUAAUAUCCAGAAUCUAUAAGGAGCUUAAAUAAUUGAACAAACAAAAACCAAAUAAUCUCAUUAAAAAAUGGGCAAAGGACAUCAACCAGACACUUCUCAAAAGAAGACAUACAAGCAGCCAACAAACACAACAAAAAAAUGUUCAACAAGUCACCAAUCAUCAGAGAAAUGCAAAUCAAAACAGAGGGCUAUUAUUGAAAAGUCAAAAAACCAACAGAUGCUGGUGAGCCUGUGGAGAAAAGGGAAUACUUAUACACUGCUAUUGGAAAUGUAAAUUCGUUCAACCACUGUGGAAAGCAGUUUGGAGAUUUCUCAAAGAACUUAAAUCAAAACUACCAUUUGACUCAGUGAUCCCAUUGCUGGGGUAUCUAUCUAAAGGGAAAUAAAUCAUUCUAUCAAAAAGACAAAUGCAGUUGUACAUUCGUCACAGCACUAUUCAAAAUAGUAAAGAGACUGAUUCAUCCCAAGUGUUCAUUAAUAGUGGACUCAGUAAAGAAAAUGUGGUACAUAUACACCACGGAAUACUAUGCAGCC
Long non-coding RNA from Pan troglodytes (chimpanzee), 4151 nucleotides. RefSeq lists it as uncharacterized. The record is from RefSeq and is a predicted model, not a curated record. Lineage: Eukaryota; Metazoa; Chordata; Mammalia; Primates; Hominidae. The transcript has 4 exons.